CCUACGGUAGGCAGCAGUGAGGAAUAUUGGUCAAUGGGCGCGAGCCUGAACCAGCCAAGUAGCGUGAAGGAUGACUGCCCUACGGGUUGUAAACUUCUUUUAUAAAGGAAUAAAGUGAGGCACGUGUGCCUCUUUGUAUGUACUUUAUGAAUAAGGAACGGCGAACUCCGGUCCAGCAGCCGCGGUAAUACGGAGGAUCCGAGCGUUAUCCGGAUUUAAUUGGUUUAAAGGGAGCGUAGAUGGGUUGUUAAGUCAGUUGUGAAAGUUUGCGGCUCAACCGUAAAAUUGCAAUUGAUACUGGCAGUCUUGAGUACAGUUGAGGUAGGCGGAAUUCGUGGUGUAGCGGUGAAAUGCUUAGAUAUCACGAAGAACUCCGAUUGCGAAGGCAGCUUACUAACCUGCCACUGACGUUGAUGCUCGAAAGUGUGGGUAUCAAACAGGAUUAGAUACCCUGGUAGUC
Molecule: ribosomal RNA, 460 nt
Filed under: uncultured bacterium
Lineage: Bacteria
Description: partial 16S ribosomal RNA
Rfam family: Bacterial small subunit ribosomal RNA
Source: RNAcentral